Ictalurus punctatus (channel catfish) is the source of this 2035-nucleotide long non-coding RNA. The record is from Ensembl. Lineage: Eukaryota; Metazoa; Chordata; Actinopteri; Siluriformes; Ictaluridae.
CCCCGUCACAUGACCUCUCUAUUUCCAAGUUGGUGGAAAUUUUAGCAAAAUAGUUCGGACUGAAAACGCUCAUGUGACCGGAAUUUACCCGUGUGCUAUAUUUAGCGUGGACUGACCCUACGUUCCCAUCGGCCAGCAACAGCGUGACGGGCGAGCGAGCGACACCCGAGUUGAAACUCUCUCAAUUGUAUGCAGAUUAGGGACGCCGGACCCGACGCACCUCGACGAUCGUCGGCCGAGUUCCUUUCUGGAGUUCCCCGCUCGCCACGUUCGGUCCUGACCUUACGCUAGCUUCGUCUCAUCCUGUCGAACACGACCUCUCGUUAAACGUUUACGCGACGUUACGGAGAAAGGUAGCGCUUUGGACGGAAGUAGCAGAGAUGGUCGGCGCCUCUGGUGAGACCCGUGUACGCGACCCGGUUCGCCCGGCGCGUUCCCGCAGUGCAUCUCGACGCCGACGGGUCGGUGUCUCUCCGUCAAAUAAACACACGGCAGACUCGUUCGAUUGCAAAUCUUUCUUUAAUCGGCCGCUUUGAGGCCUGACCGAGCGUUAGCCGGCGUUCACGCCACUGUUACUUUUCCCAACAACAAGGCAUUCCUAUGGCGUUUAGCUACAAAGUCUACAAAGUUCAGCACCAUGUUACAGGUUAUGCAUAUUAGAUUUUAGAAGCAUUUCAUCGACGAUGGUAAGAAAACGUCCGACACGUUAAGUACAACACUGACAUGACCGAGUCAGAAAAUUAAAAUGGAUGGACUCCUGGAAGUGUGUGUGUGUGUGUGUGUGUGUGUGUGUGUGUGUUUACAUUCAAUUUAAGCAACCUUUUUAAAUUUUUUUUUUUUUACUUGGUUUCCGAGAUCCUGGGAUUUCUUAUUUUCAUUUUUUUUUUUACAAUGUUUUCUGAGAUGACAAAAUGACCAAAACGUCGUUUCACCGCGACGAUGCAUCGAUUGCGGUCUAGACAAUGUUAAAUGUUUUCCUGAGAAAACGUCCUACACGUUCGUACUGAGACUUACCGCUACGACAAAUUUAACAUAAACGUACAUCUGGAUCGAUGCAGAGGUGCCGACGUUUAUGGCGUGGUCAUAGAAUUUGACCGUUUUUGACCCGUUGCUACGGCGAUCGACUAUUCUGCUUUUUCAGCUAAAGUUAAAGAGAAAUUCACCGAAGGGGAAAGGGCACGUGACGCGAAAAGACGCGUUUAACUGCUGUGCCGUCGACGUUAUCUCGGUGACCUCUGACCUGUGACGUCACGAGCCUCCGUCUCGUCAGCCAACAGAAACGAAAAGGCGGGACUCGCGGUGUCGGGGUCCGCCCCUCUCCGUUUUGUUUCUGUGGCUUGCCGCACAUCUGGAGGAAAAAAAGAAAAAAGAAAAAAAAAAAAAACGCACGUAAAAAUGGAAAAAUUAGCCUUUGUUAACAAUAAUUGGCACCUCGGAUCAAAUAAAACGUCAUAAAAACGUUAAUUUGCUUCGGAAAGUGGUAUUUUUAAGCUUAGUGUUUAUCCCUGGGGGGUACAAAUAUUUGAACAUUCAAAUUUCACAAAAUCAAAUAAAACUGUCCUUGUUAUGAUCUGGAAAUGGAGUAAACGCACGCACCCGAGAUAUUUAAGAUCUGUAAAAAAAAACACAUCAAAGACGACAGAUGCUACACGCCGCUGUACGUUUUCCACUCGUCUUCCUUCGUAUCCACAUCCAAUCAUCCAAUCACACGCUCUCCUCUCUCCUUCUCCACGCAAUCACCCGACACGACCCCCGCUUCACCCGCAACGUGCAAAACCCUCCACCGUCACGUCCCAACCGCGUGUUCAAACGUCCCUCCGUUUUCCCUUUGAACGCCCCGUUCACGUCGUCGCUCUUUCACCAGUCGCGCUGGACGUGUGAAAACGUUCGCACGUGCAAAUAAUCAAGACAUCGUUCCUGAAGACAGGAAUUCCAUUCCGCCGUCCCGCUAUAUAUCGGAACGACGUACAGCCGAGUAAAGCUCAGAGGAAAGGAACGGUCUCGCCGAAAAAAAAAAAAAAAAAAAAAAAACCUA